CCUACGGGCGGCUGCAGUGGGGAAUAUUGGACAAUGGGGGGAACCCUGAUCCAGCCAUGCCGCGUGUGUGAAGAAGGCCCUCGGGUUGUAAAGCACUUUCAGUGAGGAAGAACGCCUGGUGGUUAAUACCCAUCAGGAAAGACAUCACUCACAGAAGAAGCACCGGCUAACUCCGUGCCAGCAGCCGCGGUAAUACGGAGGGUGCGAGCGUUAAUCGGAAUUACUGGGCGUAAAGCGCGCGUAGGUGGCUUGAUAAGCCGGUUGUGAAAGCCCCGGGCUCAACCUGGGAAUGGCAUCCGGAACUGUCAAGCUAGAGUGCAGGAGAGGAAGGUAGAAUUCCCGGUGUAGCGGUGAAAUGCGUAGAGAUCGGGAGGAAUACCAGUGGCGAAGGCGGCCUUCUGGACUGACACUGACACUGAGGUGCGAAAGCGUGGGUAGCAAACAGGAUUAGAUACCCUUGUAGUC
RNAcentral lists this ribosomal RNA (465 nucleotides) under Vreelandella stevensii. Its description in RNAcentral is "partial 16S ribosomal RNA". It matches the Rfam family "Bacterial small subunit ribosomal RNA", at positions 338 to 795 of the family's 1533-position model. Lineage: Bacteria; Pseudomonadati; Pseudomonadota; Gammaproteobacteria; Oceanospirillales; Halomonadaceae. The record is from RNAcentral.